GGGUUGUGAGGUUAAGCGACUAAGCGUACACGGUGGAUGCCCUGGCAGUCAGAGGCGAUGAAGGACGUGCUAAUCUGCGAUAAGCGUCGGUAAGGUGAUAUGAACCGUUAUAACCGGCGAUUUCCGAAUGGGGAAACCCAGUGUGUUUCGACACACUAUCAUUAACUGAAUCCAUAGGUUAAUGAGGCGAACCGGGGGAACUGAAACAUCUAAGUACCCCGAGGAAAAGAAAUCAACCGAGAUUCCCCCAGUAGCGGCGAGCGAACGGGGAGCAGCCCAGAGCCUGAAUCAGUGUGUGUGUUAGUGGAAGCGUCUGGAAAGGCGUGCGAUACAGGGUGACAGCCCCGUACACAAAAAUGCACAUAUUGUGAGCUCGAUGAGUAGGGCGGGACACGUGGUAUCCUGUCUGAAUAUGGGGGGACCAUCCUCCAAGGCUAAAUACUCCUGACUGACCGAUAGUGAACCAGUACCGUGAGGGAAAGGCGAAAAGAACCCCGGCGAGGGGAGUGAAAAAGAACCUGAAACCGUGUACGUACAAGCAGUGGGAGCCUCUUUUAUGGGGUGACUGCGUACCUUUUGUAUAAUGGGUCAGCGACUUAUAUUCUGUAGCAAGGUUAACCGAAUAGGGGAGCCGAAGGGAAACCGAGUCUUAACUGGGCGUUAAGUUGCAGGGUAUAGACCCGAAACCCGGUGAUCUAGCCAUGGGCAGGUUGAAGGUUGGGUAACACUAACUGGAGGACCGAACCGACUAAUGUUGAAAAAUUAGCGGAUGACUUGUGGCUGGGGGUGAAAGGCCAAUCAAACCGGGAGAUAGCUGGUUCUCCCCGAAAGCUAUUUAGGUAGCGCCUCGUGAAUUCAUCUCCGGGGGUAGAGCACUGUUUCGGCAAGGGGGUCAUCCCGACUUACCAACCCGAUGCAAACUGCGAAUACCGGAGAAUGUUAUCACGGGAGACACACGGCGGGUGCUAACGUCCGUCGUGAAGAGGGAAACAACCCAGACCGCCAGCUAAGGUCCCAAAGUCAUGGUUAAGUGGGAAACGAUGUGGGAAGGCCCAGACAGCCAGGAUGUUGGCUUAGAAGCAGCCAUCAUUUAAAGAAAGCGUAAUAGCUCACUGGUCGAGUCGGCCUGCGCGGAAGAUGUAACGGGGCUAAACCAUGCACCGAAGCUGCGGCAGCGACGCUUAUGCGUUGUUGGGUAGGGGAGCGUUCUGUAAGCCUGUGAAGGUGUGCUGUGAGGCAUGCUGGAGGUAUCAGAAGUGCGAAUGCUGACAUAAGUAACGAUAAAGCGGGUGAAAAGCCCGCUCGCCGGAAGACCAAGGGUUCCUGUCCAACGUUAAUCGGGGCAGGGUGAGUCGACCCCUAAGGCGAGGCCGAAAGGCGUAGUCGAUGGGAAACAGGUUAAUAUUCCUGUACUUGGUGUUACUGCGAAGGGGGGACGGAGAAGGCUAUGUUGGCCGGGCGACGGUUGUCCCGGUUUAAGCGUGUAGGCUGGUUUUCCAGGCAAAUCCGGAAAAUCAAGGCUGAGGCGUGAUGACGAGGCACUACGGUGCUGAAGCAACAAAUGCCCUGCUUCCAGGAAAAGCCUCUAAGCAUCAGGUAACAUCAAAUCGUACCCCAAACCGACACAGGUGGUCAGGUAGAGAAUACCAAGGCGCUUGAGAGAACUCGGGUGAAGGAACUAGGCAAAAUGGUGCCGUAACUUCGGGAGAAGGCACGCUGAUAUGUAGGUGAAGUCCCUUGCGGAUGGAGCUGAAAUCAGUCGAAGAUACCAGCUGGCUGCAACUGUUUAUUAAAAACACAGCACUGUGCAAACACGAAAGUGGACGUAUACGGUGUGACGCCUGCCCGGUGCCGGAAGGUUAAUUGAUGGGGUCAGCGCAAGCGAAGCUCUUGAUCGAAGCCCCGGUAAACGGCGGCCGUAACUAUAACGGUCCUAAGGUAGCGAAAUUCCUUGUCGGGUAAGUUCCGACCUGCACGAAUGGCGUAAUGAUGGCCAGGCUGUCUCCACCCGAGACUCAGUGAAAUUGAACUCGCUGUGAAGAUGCAGUGUACCCGCGGCAAGACGGAAAGACCCCGUGAACCUUUACUAUAGCUUGACACUGAACAUUGAGCCUUGAUGUGUAGGAUAGGUGGGAGGCUUUGAAGUGUGGACGCCAGUCUGCAUGGAGCCGACCUUGAAAUACCACCCUUUAAUGUUUGAUGUUCUAACGUGGACCCGUAAUCCGGGUUGCGGACAGUGUCUGGUGGGUAGUUUGACUGGGGCGGUCUCCUCCUAAAGAGUAACGGAGGAGCACGAAGGUUGGCUAAUCCUGGUCGGACAUCAGGAGGUUAGUGCAAUGGCAUAAGCCAGCUUGACUGCGAGCGUGACGGCGCGAGCAGGUGCGAAAGCAGGUCAUAGUGAUCCGGUGGUUCUGAAUGGAAGGGCCAUCGCUCAACGGAUAAAAGGUACUCCGGGGAUAACAGGCUGAUACCGCCCAAGAGUUCAUAUCGACGGCGGUGUUUGGCACCUCGAUGUCGGCUCAUCACAUCCUGGGGCUGAAGUAGGUCCCAAGGGUAUGGCUGUUCGCCAUUUAAAGUGGUACGCGAGCUGGGUUUAGAACGUCGUGAGACAGUUCGGUCCCUAUCUGCCGUGGGCGCUGGAGAACUGAGGGGGGCUGCUCCUAGUACGAGAGGACCGGAGUGGACGCAUCACUGGUGUUCGGGUUGUCAUGCCAAUGGCACUGCCCGGUAGCUAAAUGCGGAAGAGAUAAGUGCUGAAAGCAUCUAAGCACGAAACUUGCCCCGAGAUGAGUUCUCCCUGACUCCUUGAGAGUCCUGAAGGAACGUUGAAGACGACGACGUUGAUAGGCCGGGUGUGUAAGCGCAGCGAUGCGUUGAGCUAACCGGUACUAAUGAACCGUGAGGCUUAACCUUACAACGCCGAAG
This 2925-nucleotide ribosomal RNA is filed under the name Escherichia coli. RNAcentral describes it as "23S ribosomal RNA". It matches the Rfam family "Bacterial large subunit ribosomal RNA". The record is from RNAcentral. Lineage: Bacteria; Pseudomonadati; Pseudomonadota; Gammaproteobacteria; Enterobacterales; Enterobacteriaceae.